GAUGAACGCUGGCGGCGUGCCUAAUACAUGCAAGUCGAGCGAACGGACGAGAAGCUUGCUUCUCUGAUGUUAGCGGCGGACGGGUGAGUAACACGUGGAUAACCUACCUAUAAUACUGGGAUAACUUCGGGAAACCGUAGCUAAUACCGGAUAAUAUUUUGAACCGCAUGGUUCAAAAGUGAAAGACGGUCUUGCUGUCACUUAUAGAUGGAUCCGCGCUGCAUUAGCUAGUUGGUAAGGUAACGGCUUACCAAGGCAACGAUGCAUAGCCGACCUGAGAGGGUGAUAGGCCACACUGGAACUGAGACACGGUCCAGACUCCUACGGGAGGCAGCAGUAGGGAAUCUUCCGCAAUGGGCGAAAGCCUGACGGAGCAACGCCGCGUGAGUGAUGAAGGUCUUCGGAUCGUAAAACUCUGUUAUUAGGGAAGAACAUAUGUGUAAGUAACUGUGCACAUCUUGACGGUACCUAAUAAGAAAGCCACGGCUAACUACGUG
Molecule: ribosomal RNA, 497 nt
Filed under: uncultured bacterium
Lineage: Bacteria
Description: partial 16S ribosomal RNA
Rfam family: Bacterial small subunit ribosomal RNA
Source: RNAcentral